This 468-nucleotide ribosomal RNA is filed under the name uncultured bacterium. RNAcentral describes it as "partial 16S ribosomal RNA". It matches the Rfam family "Bacterial small subunit ribosomal RNA", at positions 28 to 507 of the family's 1533-position model. The record is from RNAcentral.
GACGAACGCUGGCGGCGUGCUUAACACAUGCAAGUCGAACGGAAAGGCCUCUUUCGGGGGGGUACUCGAGUGGCGAACGGGUGAGUAACACGUGAGUAACCUGCCCUUGACUUUGGGAUAACUUCAGGAAACUGGGGCUAAUACCGGAUAGGAGCUCCUGCUGCAUGGUGGGGGUUGGAAAGUUUCGGCGGUUGGGGAUGGACUCGCGGCUUAUCAGCUUGUUGGUGGGGUAGUGGCUUACCAAGGCUUUGACGGGUAGCCGGCCUGAGAGGGUGACCGGCCACAUUGGGACUGAGAUACGGCCCAGACUCCUACGGGAGGCAGCAGUGGGGAAUAUUGCACAAUGGGUGGAAGCCUGAUGCAGCAACGCCGUGUGCGGGAUGACGGCCUUCGGGUUGUAAACCGCUUUCGCUCAUGACGAAGCUUUGUGUGACGGUAGUGGGUAAAGAAGCACCGGCUAACUACGUG